ACGACCUUACUUGAAUAGGAUCUGUUCUAUAGACUCGUACCACUAUAUCCUUGAGUUCUAAGGAGACAGGGAACCAAGUUUGGUGGAUGAAUUAUGCCCAUUAGAUUAGAGCGUGAUUAACAACCCCCACAGCCCUCGGGUCAUGGUGCCGUAGAUGAUCGUUCUCAGCUCCAACUAUGGUGCCUGUGAUGGUCUAAUGGUUGUCUGACAGACU
This 214-nucleotide small nucleolar RNA is filed under the name Nicotiana attenuata. RNAcentral's name for it is "snoRNA Plant_U3". It matches the Rfam family "Plant small nucleolar RNA U3". Rfam says of the family: Small nucleolar RNAs (snoRNAs) are involved in the processing and modification of rRNA in the nucleolus. There are two main classes of snoRNAs: the box C/D class, and the box H/ACA class. U3 snoRNA is a member of the box C/D class. The record is from Rfam by way of RNAcentral. Lineage: Eukaryota; Viridiplantae; Streptophyta; Magnoliopsida; Solanales; Solanaceae.